This 878-nucleotide ribosomal RNA is filed under the name uncultured bacterium. RNAcentral describes it as "bacterial SSU rRNA". It matches the Rfam family "Bacterial small subunit ribosomal RNA", at positions 52 to 928 of the family's 1533-position model. The record is from RNAcentral.
CACAUGCAGUCGAACGAAGCUUGACGAAUGAUUUCUUCGGAAUGAAAUCUGAUAUGACUGAGUGGCGGACGGGUGAGUAACGCGUGAGCAACCUGCCCUUCGGAACGGGAUAGUGUCUGGAAACGGACAGUAAUACCGUAUAACGUAUUUUUACCGCAUGAUAGAAAUACCAAAACUGAGGUGCCGAAGGAUGGGCUCGCGUCUGAUUAGAUAGUUGGUGGGGUAACGGCCUACCAAGUCGACGAUCAGUAGCCGGACUGAGAGGUUGAACGGCCACAUUGGGACUGAGACACGGCCCAGACUCCUACGGGAGGCAGCAGUGGGGAAUAUUGCACAAUGGGGGAAACCCUGAUGCAGCAACGCCGCGUGAAGGAAGACGGUUUUCGGAUUGUAAACUUCUGUUCUUAGUGAAGAAUAAUGACGGUAGCUAAGGAGCAAGCCACGGCUAACUACGUGCCAGCAGCCGCGGUAAUACGUAGGUGGCAAGCGUUGUCCGGAAUUACUGGGUGUAAAGGGAGCGUAGGCGGGAUGCCAAGUCAGCUGUGAAAACUAUGGGCUUAACCUGUAGACUGCAGUUGAAACUGGUAUUCUUGAGUGAAGUAGAGGUUGGCGGAAUUCCGAGUGUAGCGGUGAAAUGCGUAGAUAUUCGGAGGAACACCGGUGGCGAAGGCGGCCAACUGGGCUUUAACUGACGCUGAGGCUCGAAAGUGUGGGGAGCAAACAGGAUUAGAUACCCUGGUAGUCCACACUGUAAACGAUGAUAACUAGGUGUGGGGGGGUCUGACCCCUUCCGUGCCGCAGCUAACGCAAUAAGUUAUCCACCCGGGGAGUACGACCGCAAGGUUGAAACUCAGAGGAAUUGACGGGGACCCGCACAA